UAAGGAAUAUUGGUCAAUGGACGCAAGUCUGAACCAGCCAUGCCGCGUGGAGGAUGAAGGUCCUCUGGAUUGUAAACUUCUUUUAUCUGGGACGAAACACUUCUUUUCUAAGAGGCCUGACGGUACCAGAUGAAUAAGCACCGGCUAACUCCGUGCCAGCAGCCGCGGUAAUACGGAGGGUGCAAGCGUUAUCCGGAUUCACUGGGUUUAAAGGGUGCGUAGGUGGGUAUGUAAGUCAGUGGUGAAAUCCCCGAGCUUAACUUGGGAACUGCCAUUGUGACUGCAAAGCUGGAGUGCGGCAGAGGGGGAUGGAAUUCCGCGUGUAGCAGUGAAAUGCGUAGAUAUGCGGAGGAACACCGAUGGCGAAGGCAAUCCCCUGGGCCUGCACUGACGCUCAUGCACGAAAGCGUGGGGAGCAAACA
This 422-nucleotide ribosomal RNA is filed under the name uncultured bacterium. Its description in RNAcentral is "bacterial SSU rRNA". It matches the Rfam family "Bacterial small subunit ribosomal RNA", at positions 355 to 774 of the family's 1533-position model. The record is from RNAcentral.